UACGGAGGGAGCUAGCGUUGUUCGGAAAUACUGGGCGUAAAGCGCACGUAGGCGGCUUUGUAAGUUAGAGGUGAAAGCCCGGGGCUCAACUCCGGAACUGCCUUUAAGACUGCAUCGCUAGAAUCCAGGAGAGGUGAGUGGAAUUCCGAGUGUAGAGGUGAAAUUCGUAGAUAUUCGGAAGAACACCAGUGGCGAAGGCGGCUCACUGGACUGGUAUUGACGCUGAGGUGCGAAAGCGUGGGGAGCAAACAGG
RNAcentral lists this ribosomal RNA (253 nucleotides) under uncultured bacterium. RNAcentral describes it as "partial 16S ribosomal RNA". It matches the Rfam family "Bacterial small subunit ribosomal RNA", at positions 524 to 776 of the family's 1533-position model. The record is from RNAcentral.